Molecule: ribosomal RNA, 98 nt
Filed under: Periophthalmus magnuspinnatus
Lineage: Eukaryota; Metazoa; Chordata; Actinopteri; Gobiiformes; Gobiidae
Source: RNAcentral
UGCAGUACCCCAUAUUGAUCUCGUCUGAUCUCUGAAGCUAAGUGGGGCUGGGCCUGGUUAGUGCUUGGAUGGGAGACCGCUGGGAACACCAGGGGCAA